Molecule: ribosomal RNA, 393 nt
Filed under: uncultured bacterium
Lineage: Bacteria
Description: partial 16S ribosomal RNA
Rfam family: Bacterial small subunit ribosomal RNA
Source: RNAcentral
AUACGGAGGAUCCGAGCGUUAUCCGGAUUUAUUGGGUUUAAAGGGUGCGCAGGCGGGAGAUUAAGUCGGCGGUGAAAUUUUGCAGCUCAACUGUAAAAGUGCCUUCGAAACUGGUUUCCUUGAGUGUAGAUGAAGUAGGCGGAAUUUGUGGUGUAGCGGUGAAAUGCAUAGAUAUCACGAGGAACUCCGAUUGCGCAGGCAGCUUACUAAACUACUACUGACGCUCAGGCACGAAGGCGUGGGGAUCAAAUAGGAUUAGAUACCCUGGUAGUCUACGCAGUAAACGAUGAUUACUAGCUGUUUGCGAUACAAUGUAAGCGGCUGAGCGAAAGCGUUAAGUAAUCCACCUGGGGAGUACGUUCGCAAGAAUGAAACUCAAAGGAAUUGACGGGG